Molecule: unclassified non-coding RNA, 239 nt
Filed under: Hevea brasiliensis (rubber tree)
Lineage: Eukaryota; Viridiplantae; Streptophyta; Magnoliopsida; Malpighiales; Euphorbiaceae
Source: RNAcentral
AGCCAGCAAGAUUCAGACAAAAAUUUAAUUUAUGCCAUUCCAAUGCCCCAAAUGUAAACAAAUAAUGGCUUUGGUUUGUGAUAUAAGCAUCUUGUUCAGCAGGAUUUGUCAAUAAUGAUAGGAAUUCAAACCAAAUUCAAUCCUAGAAAAGUCACUAUUUGAAGAAAAGUCCUAAACACAAAAAUAUUAAUGAGGAAACACCACUUCUCACAACUAUGCAAAAAAUAUCAUGUGCAUAA